UGUGAAUAGCUCUUUGGGGAAGACGAUGAAAUUACAAAACGAUGCUAGAGCUACAGAGUUGGCUGAUGUCUUUCCAGGUCUGCCUGGCAAUGAUGAAGAUGGAUAUAGGCUGAUAAAUGUAAAACAUUCAGCCUCUGUGUUCUCUGAAAUUCAUGUUUGCGAUGAAGGUAUUUAGUGAUGAUUUGUUUUUAAAUUGGCUUUGCCAGUUUGCCCUAUCACCCAAAUAUUAUAUUUGUUUGUUAUCUUGGCAUUGUAUAAGUGAUAAAAUGAAAUUCUUACAUACUGUAAGUUUUAUCAGGUAUUUUUGC
Molecule: non-coding RNA, 308 nt
Organism: Paramuricea clavata
Lineage: Eukaryota; Metazoa; Cnidaria; Anthozoa; Malacalcyonacea; Plexauridae
Source: the annotation of a GenBank genome assembly